GAUGAACGCUGGCGGCGUGCCUAAUACAUGCAAGUCGAGCGAACGGACGAGAAGCUUUCUCCCCUGAUGUUAGCGGCGGACGGGUGAGUAACACGUGGAUAACCUACCUAUAAGACUGGGAUAAUUUCGGGAAACCGGAGCUAAUACCGGAUAAUAUUUUGAACCGCAUGGUUCAAAAGUGAAAGACGGUCUUGCUGUUACUUAUAGAUGGAUCCGCGCUGCAUUGGCUAGUUGGUAAGGUAACGGCUUACCAAGGCAACGAUGCAUAGCCGACCUGAGAGGGUGAUCAGCCACACUGGAACUGAGACACGGUCCAGACUCCUACGGGAGGCAGCAGUAGGGAAUCUUCCGCAAUGGGCGAAAGCCUGACGGAGCAACACCGCGUGAGUGAUGAAGGUCUUCGGAUCGUAAAACUCUGUUAUUAGGAAAGAACAUAUGUGUAAGUAACUGUGCACAUCUUGACGGUACCUAAUCAAUAAGCCACGGCUAACUACGUG
Molecule: ribosomal RNA, 497 nt
Filed under: uncultured bacterium
Lineage: Bacteria
Description: partial 16S ribosomal RNA
Rfam family: Bacterial small subunit ribosomal RNA
Source: RNAcentral